GCCUGGGCCUGGCCCGGUGGACUUAGUGGUUUAACGGCCGCGGUAUUCUGACCGUGCGAAGAGUAGCGCAAUAACUUGUCCUUUAAAUGGGGACUAGUAUGAAUGGCAUCACGAGGGCUUAUCUGUCUCCUCUUUUAGGUCAAUGAAAUUGAUCUCCCCGUGCAAAAGCGGGGAUGCAAACAUAAGACGAGAAGACCCUGUGGAGCUUUAGGCACCAAGACAGAUCAUGUUAAAAAUACCUCAACAAGGGCUUAAACUAAAAGAAACCUGUCCUAAUGUCUUUGGUUGGGGCGACCGCGGAGAAAAAAAAAUCCUCCCUCUGCGUGGAACGGGAGCACUAAACCAAAACCUCCUACAACCAAGAGCCACAGCUCAAACCAACAGAACUUUCUGACCAUCAUUGAUCCGGCCCCCCGCCGAUCAACGAACCGAGUUACCCCAGGGAUAACAGCGCAAUCCCCUUUUAGAGUCCAUAUCGACAAGGGGGUUUACGACCUCGAUGUUGGAUCAGGACAUCCUAAUGGUGCAGCCGCUAUUAAGGGUUCGUUUGUUCAACGAUUAAAGUCCUACGUGAUC
Molecule: ribosomal RNA, 576 nt
Filed under: Cymbacephalus beauforti (crocodilefish)
Lineage: Eukaryota; Metazoa; Chordata; Actinopteri; Perciformes; Platycephalidae
Description: partial 16S ribosomal RNA
Rfam family: Bacterial large subunit ribosomal RNA
Source: RNAcentral